CGCAUACUUUGAUUACCUUGCCG
Molecule: non-coding RNA, 23 nt
Filed under: Arabidopsis thaliana (thale cress)
Lineage: Eukaryota; Viridiplantae; Streptophyta; Magnoliopsida; Brassicales; Brassicaceae
Source: RNAcentral